ACAUGGCUCCCUAGGAUACAUCACUAACCCACUGGUGCAUUCUGUCACUGCACCAGGUACUGCUGGGCCACUCUGGCAAUUUUUUUAAACCAGACAAACAAAGUGGAAAAUGAUGCAUUUGACAUUUUUCAUGAAAGAUGAAGAGGAUGGACUAAGUCCACUCCUCCAGAGCUGGAAUCAUGCCACCUCCACUGGAGCUGCUGUUUUUAAUAUGAAAAUUAAUUGAGUGGCACAGAGAGGCCGGCAUUGAGCCUGAGGCUGGACUGCCUCUACCGUCUGUUCCUGCUUCCUCGUACAGGCACAGGCCCACCAAACUGCUGAUGCCAAAAACUCACAAAACCGCCCAGUGGAUGUCCAUGUCUCAGUUAACAAAAUGCUGAUCUUUGCCUCAAAUUAUUUUGUAUAUGAAAGAACUAACCAAUGUGUACAGCAUGAGCAGGUCAAUAUAUAAUCUUGUUAAACAAGAUAAUAUGACAUAGCAUAUACACUACACUAAAAGCUUAUUCAUGUUUUUUUUUUUUUUUAUGUUUUGUAGACCUUCCCAUGAUUCUAAAUACAAAGUAAAUUGAUAAAAAUCCCCUCAUGCUUUGCUUAACUUUGUAAUAGCACCUGAGGUUUAACAGGCUAUCCCUUCUAAAAGGACCCAGAAAAAAGCUACAUUAGAGAAUUCUUCACUGGGUAACAAGAACACUCCAUAGUAAAAGUCAAGGUCAAGGUCAAUGCUUUGUGGUACAAAAGCAACAAAUGAACAUGCUCUCAAUCAGCAGUUGCAGAACUGUAACGGUUAAACAAUUAGACAGAUUCUAAUUAUCAGCAUAACUUUGCUGAUAUAGUGCUACAAAACUUCCUCCUUAUUCCCUGGUUUCGAGGGUUACUCUUCUGUUUCAGUUUAGCAGGACAGGUCAAUAUCCUAUGCCACCACUUAAAGGAUCAUAGAGAAAAUAAGUUAGGUAUUCCCUAAUGAUGCAAUAAGGCAAAAAAAAGUGCAUAAGAAUGCAACCAUACCUGCAUGAUACAAUGCACAAGAACAAAAACUGACAUUUACACUAGCAGACAAUUGUGAAUCGUGCAUCUUGAUAGCUAUCCAUUUUGCUCCAUUUUCUGUGAAUAAAUAAGAUAGCAUAAUUCACAAUUUUACAAGUCAAAAGAUACCCCAUAAGCCUAAUGACCUUUCCCAGUCACCUAUAUAUCUGCCUAUGUAUUUAGGUCCAACACUAAGUUUAAUCUUAUCCUGCAAAAACCUUAACUUCAUUCAUAUUGUUUGGGGUCAUGCUUUCACCAGUGGUCUCACUGUCAAAGACAAUUCUAGUUAUGGCAGGCAAAAAUUGAAUUUUAAAAAAAGUCAUAAAAUCCAUCAAUAUUUCCAUACAUCAUCCAAGAAAUAAAUUAUCAAUAGGCUUUUAAACAUUUUUUUUUCUUGAAACACCAUUAUUUCAUAUUUAUAGAUUUACUUAAAUAAGGUUUACUUUGCUAAUUUAUAGAUUGACUUCAAAUGAGGGGUGGGUUUAUUUAUGCUGAGUUGUUCCAAUUGGACAGUAGGCCUGCAGGCUGACAGCUGUGCUUGGAAAACCUGAGACUGACAAGAAUGUAGAUAUCCUUCAAUAAAACCCAAACAUGUUUGCAAAAAUGUUAAUAUAAAACACAUCUAAAUAAAUUCUUAAAAGUUCUGAAUUUGUUAAAUUACUUAUUGACCAUUCAAUGAAAAAGAUAUACUUCCUAAUUUGUCACUCACCUCCCACAGGCGAAAUCUACGAUUUCAUAGUAAAAGCUCAAAGUUCAGGUUUUAUACCCGGCUAAACAAAACCAACCUCCGGCAUAAAUAUUAAUUCACAAUUCAUUUGCAGAGAGAUGAGAUACACUAUCUGAGAUUUGAUUCAUGUUGGUAUUUUGUUAAAAAAGGCAAGUUAUUUCACAGUGAAGCAGUAAAGAAAAGCCACUGGCAACUUGUGAUGGUUUAGUAUCAGUGUCAAGUACAGCCCAUCAUUAUGUACAUUCAUACAUACGUCACUUCCCCAUUGGCUCACACUUGAAAUUCUAUUUCAGAAAAAAAAAAAA
This is a long non-coding RNA of Electrophorus electricus (electric eel), 2055 nucleotides long. RefSeq lists it as uncharacterized. NCBI's taxonomy places the organism in Eukaryota, Metazoa, Chordata, Actinopteri, Gymnotiformes, Gymnotidae. The record is from RefSeq and is a predicted model, not a curated record.